UUCGGUUUACAGGGCAAGGUGACCGGUUCCAAGAGAAAGGAGAAAGGGAGGGCUGCCGUAUGUGAGAGGGUUCCUGUGUUUGGCUGAGGGAGAUCAAAAAAAUUUGUGGCUGAGACUUUUUGUUUCAAAGGGAGAGCCCCCCCCCCCCCAAGAGAGAGACUGUCAGACCCGUUUGUGAGGGGAAAGAGACCAAAAUUAAAGAGCAAAGGGGCUGUCUUUUUUGCAUAGGGCCAGGGAGUGUGGGAGCUGAGGGGGAGCGUCUCUGGUCGGCUAGAAACAAGGAAAAGAAGACCUGGGUGGGGCUGAGUUGCUGAUUUUCAGCUGGAAAAAAUAAUGGCCUUGGACAGGGGGGGCCGGCGGCUGUUUGAAAAAAAGUGGGGGGGAGAAGAUAGGUUUAGGUUUUUUUUUAUUUUUUUUAUUUUUUUUUGGUGUUUCCAAAAUUAUCUCCCUUGCAAAAAU
RNAcentral lists this long non-coding RNA (459 nucleotides) under Populus tremula. Its description in RNAcentral is "long non-coding RNA (PTRE_LNC003141)". The record is from RNAcentral. Lineage: Eukaryota; Viridiplantae; Streptophyta; Magnoliopsida; Malpighiales; Salicaceae.